Molecule: ribosomal RNA, 253 nt
Filed under: uncultured bacterium
Lineage: Bacteria
Description: partial 16S ribosomal RNA
Rfam family: Bacterial small subunit ribosomal RNA
Source: RNAcentral
UACGUAGGGUGCAAGCGUUGUCCGGAAUUAUUGGGCGUAAAGAGCUCGUAGGCGGUCUGUUGCGUCGGCUGUGAAAACCCGGGGCUCAACUCCGGGCCUGCAGCCGAUACGGGCAGACUAGAGUUCGGCAGGGGAGACUGGAAUUCCUGGUGUAGCGGUGAAAUGCGCAGAUAUCAGGAGGAACACCGGUGGCGAAGGCGGGUCUCUGGGCCGAUACUGACGCUGAGGCGCGAAAGUGUGGGGAGCGAACAGG